RNAcentral lists this ribosomal RNA (977 nucleotides) under human gut metagenome. RNAcentral describes it as "bacterial LSU rRNA". It matches the Rfam family "Bacterial large subunit ribosomal RNA", at positions 1950 to 2925 of the family's 2925-position model. The record is from RNAcentral.
CCUAAGGUAGCGAAAUUCCUUGUCGGGUAAGUUCCGACCUGCACGAAUGGCGUAACGAUCUCCACACUGUCUCGGCCAGAGACUCGGUGAAAUUGCAGUCGCGGUGAAAAUUCCGUGUACCCGCAGAAAGACGGAAAGACCCUGUGCACCUUUACUAUAGCUUGACAUUGGAUUUUGGGCCUGCAUGUGUAGGAUAGGUGGGAGGCUGUGAACCCUGUACGCCAGUAUGGGGGGAGCCAUCCUUGAAAUACCACCCUUGCAUGUUUAAGAUCCUAACUUCUUCCGGUUAUCCCGGAGAAAGACAGUGUCUGGCGGGUAGUUUGACUGGGGCGGUCGCCUCCUAAAGUGUAACGGAGGCAUGCAAAGGUUCCCUCAGCCUGAUCGGAAACCAGGCGCUGAGUGCAAACGCAUAAGGGAGCUUGACUGUAAGAGAGACAUCUCGAACAGGAACGAAAGUUGGCGUUAGUGAUCCGGUGGUCCCGAAUGGAAGGGCCAUCGCUCAUUGGAUAAAAGGUACGCCGGGGAUAACAGGCUGAUCGCAUCCAAGAGUUCACAUCGACGAUGCGGUUUGGCACCUCGAUGUCGGCUCAUCACAUCCUGGGGCUGAAGCAGGUCCCAAGGGUACGGCUGUUCGCCGUUUAAAGUGGUACGCGAGCUGGGUUUAAAACGUCGUGAGACAGUUUGGUCCCUAUCUUCUGUGGGCGUAGGAGAAUUGAGAGGGUUUGUCCCUAGUACGAGAGGACCGGGAUGAACGCACCACUGGUGGAUCAGUUGUCGCGCCAGCGGCAUAGCUGAGUAGCUAUGUGCGGAAUGGAUAACCGCUGAAAGCAUCUAAGCGGGAAGCCAGCCUCGAGAUAAGUUCUCCCUGUCGCAAGACACUAAAGGGCCGAUGAAGACUACAUCGUUGAUAGGCCGGAGGUGGAAGCGCUGCGAAGCGUGGAGCUGACCGGUACUAAUAGCCCGUGCGCCUUAUAUUU